Long non-coding RNA from Bombus huntii, 1796 nucleotides. RefSeq lists it as uncharacterized. NCBI's taxonomy places the organism in Eukaryota, Metazoa, Arthropoda, Insecta, Hymenoptera, Apidae. The transcript is spliced from 2 exons. The record is from RefSeq and is a predicted model, not a curated record.
AAGAAAAAAAGAAAAAAGAACCUGAGAGACUACGUUUAGGCAAUAUUUUCUUCUACACCAACAUUUCUUUUCGUCGAUCACUAGUUAUUUAAGAGUUUCUUACACUCCGUCGAGGAGCGUUCAACACGACCGGGGAAUGUAUCGUUGCGGCAACCUAUGGUGAUUAAAAAAAGCACUCGCGUCUCACAUUCGCGACCCCAACGAUAAGGGUAAGUCGAAAAUCGUACGGUCAGUCCAACGUUUUCAGGGCCGCCAGGUUAACGUCACGAAAUCCACCGACACAACCAUAGAUCCCAAACGGUGGACGGACGGACGUAAGGACGGACGGCUGGCUGGCAGCAGGCAAGGCGGAAUCACAGAGAGGUCCGGGGGGAGAGGCAUUGAAUACGGCGGGGUGAGGGUAAAGUUUUUGGGCGAGGGGCAGGUGGGGUUAUAAGGGGACGGGGACGUAUGAGACAAAGUGGGGGGAAAACGAACGAGAACGAGCGAGCGACCGAACCGACUGACGACGUAGCGUCGCGGGGGACGGAGGUCUACGCUAGCUCAGGACCGUUACAUUCAGGUCCCCUCAGUGCCACUACUUCUCGUCGAACACAUAUUUUUCCCUUUUUUUCUCAUUUUUUUGAUGUAUAUUAUUAUAUCGUUGGAUCUUAGAUCUGUAAGAUAAUAUAGACAGACUUUUAAAUAUAGUAAAUUAAUGGAAAAUAUGAAAAGUUUAUUUUAGAUAAUAACGGCAUGUUGGAAAGAGAGAUCCAUGUAUACAACCCUAAAGAUCUCCGCGACUUAAAGGUGAUAGUUUAGAAACGUAUUAACUAUAAUGUUGUAAGGUUUUACAAUAUGUUGUAUGAAAUUGUUUGUUUGGUAAGUUCGUAGGAUUCACAACACCAGAACUAUAAAGUUUAUGCUAAAGAAAUUUAAGUUGAAGGUAUAUGAAAAAAUAUAUAAAUUUUGUUAUCAUACGAACUGGAAUCCUCAAUUAUGCACAUACAUACAUACAUAAUCUUAUGAUCAUUCAAAUUCCUAAAAAUAUAUUGUCGAUCUAUGAAAUUUCCAUGAAAAAUUAUGAAUUAGUUAUUUUAAUCACUAAUAAUUCUAGUGUUAACUUACAUAUAUAUAUGACAAAACGCUGAUCUAUGCAAAAUGCUGUUGUAUGUAUGUAUGUAUGUAUGUGUGGAUAAAAACUGCUUUUAAUUGACAAUUAAAUGUAACUGAGAAGAAACACUGGAAAAAGUAUCAUUAUUUAACAAAAACGUUUGAUCUCAUAUCUUGAUGAAAAAAUUAAGAAAUGUUAGAUGUUAGAUCAAAUGUUCAAUUUCAUCUUUUUAUCAUGAAUUUAUUAUUUCUGUCCGACUAUCAUUUAUUAUGAUAUUUAUAAAAUUUUUUCUUUUUAUGGCAAGAAACUAAGUAUUCCAGUAGCGUAUAUACAUUAUAUUUACAUUUUUUUCAAAUUUUAUCGUUUACUAUUAUAUAUUUCAUUAUUCGUGCUAUUCGAUAUACAUAUUUCAAGUACUGCUAUUUACAUUCAAAUUUUCAUUCAUUUUUGUUACGCGUUCUUUAAUCUAGGCUUUCACUUAGAAUUCGGAAUUUUUAUGAACUAAAUAGAUAAUACAUUAGUACCUAUUUAAUACAUUUAGUAAAAAUGAAAAAGACAAUGGGAAAUAUACUAUGCCAUACAAAUACUUUAGAUUUUUUAUUGAUAUAAAAUGAUUCGAUGUAAAGUACGAUAAAAAGUAAAAGAUGAUUAGUCGAAUGCAGAUGAUUUUAAUUCUAAAUAAAAAGUGGCAUUAUAGCUAUAA